RNAcentral lists this long non-coding RNA (4873 nucleotides) under Brassica napus (rape). Its description in RNAcentral is "long non-coding RNA (BNAP_LNC004619)". The record is from RNAcentral. Lineage: Eukaryota; Viridiplantae; Streptophyta; Magnoliopsida; Brassicales; Brassicaceae.
UAGGAUCAAGAGCAAACAUUGGUGAAAUUGAAGAUCUCACGAUCUCUUCGAGUCUUGGACAUGUUUUCUCGUAGUAAUUGUAAGAUAGACCUUCAUAAUAUUGAGUAUUGGAAUUGAAUGAAUAUUAUUGAGUAAGGAGCUCUGUUCUUAUAUGUACAGAGAUGAUCACAAGAAAGGCAAGGCAAUAUUCUAGGAGAUACAAUAGACUAAUUACAGACUAUAUAGCCGUUGAUAGACGUUAAUGAUUAUACACUUUCCAUACUCUUACACACCCCCUCAAGACGGACGGCCAUUCGAGAGUCCGAUCUUGACUAGUAGAGAAUCAAACCGUGUGCGAGGUAAUGGCUUCGUCAGUGCGUCGGCAAGUUGAUCAGCUGAGUUGACGUGAGAUACGCGCAGUUCACCGCUUUGCACAAAUUGUCGAACAAAAUGAUAGUCAAGAGCAAGAUGUUUCAUUCUGGAAUGAAAGACCGGAUUGGCAGCAAGGUAUGUAGCGCCAAUAUUGUCACAGUAGAUGACUGGUUUAGUAGGAGAUGGGGCUUCAAGCUCGGACAGAAGAGACUGAAGCCAGCAGACUUCAGCUGUAGUGGAUGCAAGAGACCGAUACUCUGCUUCUGUUGAUGAUCGAGCUACACCAGUUUGUUUCUUAGAUGACCAGGCAAUAGGGUGACGACCAAGAUAGACUAUAUAAGCACCAGUGGAAGUAUAGUCGUCUCGGUUCCCAGCCCAAUCCGCAUCAGUGAACGCGUGAAGACUAGGAGUGUUGUGAGCUGGAAGAAAGAUGCCGCGUGUGGUUGUGCCAGCAAGAUAACGAAGGAUGCGCUUGACUGCUUGCCAGUGGUCAGUGGUGGGCUUGUGCAUGAACUGCGACAGCUUAUUUACUGGGAAGGAGAUGUCAGGCCGCGUCAAUGAGAGAUACUGGAGGCUGCCGACUACUGCUCGAUAUUCUGAAGGAUCAGCCAAAGGAGUACCUGAAGACAACGUUAAAGUAGUGUUAGAACACAUAGGUGUCUUGAUUGAAUGACAGUCAGCCAUUUUUGUACGAUGUAGAAGAUCUAAUAUGUAACGACUUUGAUUCAAGUGCAUUCCCUCCUUUGUCCUAAUUACUUCUAUGCCAAGAAAGAACGACAAAUCAUCUAAAUCUUUUAAAGAAAAACGUUGAGAUAAGGAUUCGAUAAACCGGGAUGUAUGAGAGGGACUGUUUCCAGUGAUGAUCAAAUCAUCUACGUAGACAAGCAUGUAGAUGAGAACCCCAUUCUUGUUGUAGAUAAAGAGAGAGGCAUCCGCUACUGAGUUCUUGAAACCAGACUGGAGAAGAAACGUGCGGAGCUCAUUGUACCAUGCCCGUGGGGCUUGUUUAAGUCCAUAAAUAGCCUUCCGGAGCUUACACACUGCAGUGGGAUUAUCUUUAUCAAUAAAACCUGGGGGUUGCAUCAUGUAGACAUCUUCUUUGAGAUGACCUUGAAGAAAUGCAUUGUUGACAUCAAGUUGACGCAGGUUCCAAUUUUUAGUAACUGCAAUGCUGAGAAUGGUCCUGAUUGUGGCCGGCUUCACGACUGGACUAAAUGUGUCAUGAUAAUCGACACCUGGUCUUUGAGUGUAACCCUUGGCAACAAGUCUGGCUUUGUAGCGAGCUAUGGAGCCAUCUGCGUUUCUCUUUAUGGUGAAGAUCCACCUGCAACCUACAACAUUAACAUGAUUAGCUGCUUCAGUGAGUGUUUCUAAAUCCCAUGAAUGAUUCCCUGUUUGAGCAUCAAACUCAUCACUCAUAGCUUUGCGCCAAUGGGGGCUCUUGAGGGCUUCAGCAACUGUUUUAGGAAUCUGUUCCAAGAGCGAGGUAGUGGUAGUAUGAAGGUUUAGUUUCUGGACUGGUUUCCGGGUACGAGUACUCGCACGAGUAGGUUGAGGAAGUUGGGUUGAAGGUGGUAUAGAUGGAGGAGGUAAAGGAACAUCGAGAGGUGGAGUGUUGCUGGGAGUGGUAGUAGCAGGAGGGUUAGGCUGAGGUGGGUUUGUUGCGGGUGGGGGUUCAGCAUGAGGAACCGGUUGCGGUAUAAGAGAGACAACAGGAUGAGAGCGAGUGGGGACGUCUUGAUCAUCCUCUGUUGAAACUUUUGAAGAAGAAAUAGAGAAUGGAAAAACCGAUUCAUGAAAAACUACAUGACGCGAAGUAUAAAUCCGUUUUGUUUCUCUAUCAAAACAGAAAUAGGCACUCUGUGUUAUUGAAUAGCCUAGAAAGACACAAGGUGUCGAUCGUGCAUCAAGCUUGUUAGAUGCAUAUGGUCUAAGCCAUGGAAAACACAGGCAGCCAAAGAUCCGAAGUUUUUCAUAAUUUGGAACAUGUCCAUGUAACUUUUGAAAAGGAGUUUGAAAAUUUAAAACCGGAGUUGGCAUUCUGUUUAUAAGAUAGACAGCCGUAGCAAAUGCAUAAGUCCAAAACGAUUUAGGCAUUGAAGCAUGAGAUAACAGAGCAAGACCAGUCUCGACUAUAUGUCGAUGUCUACGCUCCGAUAUACCGUUAUGUUCUGGAGUAUGCGGCGGACUUGUCAUAUGAGAGAUGCCAUGAGAAGCUAAAAAGGAUGCUAACGCUAUAUAUUCUCCCCCAUUGUCAGUGUAUAGAGUUCUAAGUUUGGUUUGAAAUCGAUUUUCAACCAAGACUUUGAAUCUAGUAAAAACAUCAGACACUUGGGAUUUUUGUUUCAAUGGAUAUAACCAUGUAUAGCGUGUAAAAUGAUCUACAAAGAUAACAUAAUACUUGAAACCAUCUUCUGAAAUUUGUGGAGAUGUCCACACAUCUGAAAAGACUAUGUCAAGCGGAAAAGAUGAUCGCAAAGUAGAAUUUUUAAAAGGCAACUUGUGCAUUUUAUUAAUAGAGCAAGAAGUGCAUGGAGAAGCCAUUAAAACACUAGAUGUAGUAGGUAACUGAUAAAUAGAAACUAGUUUUUGAAGAAUUGGAAAAGCAGGAUGACCAAGACGCGAGUGCCAAUCAGACAUAGUGGUCUUGACAGCUGAAGCAAAUGCAAGAGAAGGAGGUUUAGAGGUUUUUGAAAGCGGCCAUGCAUAGGUACCAUCUUUAGGCUUGCCCUCCAGACGAAGAGCCCCCGUCUGCAAGUCUCUCACCUGAAAGUAAGUUGGAGUAAACGUGACAGCAACCCCAUUAGUUGAGCAUAAUUGAAACACAGAAAUUAAGUUCUUUUGUAACGAUGGAACACAUAAUACACUAUUAAGAAAGAAAGGUUUUGUAUAAGAAGGAAGAGAUAAAGAACCAGUGUGGGAGAUGUUGAGGCCUGACCCAUCACCAAGUAAGACACCAUCACCGCCACUGUAAGGAUUGUGGAGAGACAGAUUAGCCAAGUCAGAUGUCAUGUGGUGGGAAGCGCCACUAUCAAAGAGCCAUGUAGAUGCAUCAGACAUGAUUGGUUGAUUCAUCGGAGAAGGCAUGAUUGCUUGAUUAGCUUGAGGAUGCCACGCCAGGUUGAGUUGUUGAGAGUUCCAAGACUGUUGAGGUCGCAUGGCAGUCGCUUGUGGUGGCGUUGCUGCACCUCGAACAAGACGGAACUGUGGACAAUACUUGGCACUAUGUCCUUGUGUGCCGCAUGCUUGACAUCUGCCAAGAUAAGGUUUGUUAAACCUUGGUUGGAAUGUGGCUUGAUUCCCUCUGUUCUGCGAAUAGUUGUUGUGAUUGUUGUUGUUGUUCUUCCAGUGAGAGCGUGGUCUAGCAUCAGUAGCGUGUGCCACAAUCGGAGUCGCAGUAGAAGAGUCUUUACACAUGAGCAUGGCCUCGCGAUUAAUGAGUCUUUCGUAUAGCUCAGUGAACGGGAUCGUAGUGUCACGGCCGUUGAUAGCAUCAAUCUCUGGUUUGUACUCCUCAGGGAGUCCAUCAAGAAUUCUCUCAGUAACAUCUUCUGGAUCCAUUGGCUUGCCGAGCAAGGCUAGCUCAUCAACCUUGGACUUAACUAGGCGCAGAUAUUCACUAAUGGUCUUGGUACCUUUGACAGAAGAUUCAAUUUGCUUUUUGAUCUGGCGCACAUGACCACGAGUCGGAAUACCAAAGGUAGACAGGAGAAUAGUCCACACCUCUUUUGUUGUUGUUGCGCUGGAGACGACGGUCUGAACCGGUAAGGUGAUCGCACCUAUGAUAGCGCUGUAGAGAAGCCGGUCUUGUCGCCUCCAAGGAGCAAACGCCGGGUUUGGUUGAGCCUCGCCAUGAACAUUAAUAGUCUGAGCAGGUGCGGUGUUGUUAUCAUCAAUAAAGUGAUGAAGUUCAUGACCCUCAAGAAGCGCACGGAUCUGGCGACUCCACAUCAGAUAGUUCGUCGUGGUGAGUUUGGUCACGCUCGACAUGUUGACCGAGAGCAGGGUGGUGCGUGGAUCAUCGGGAUUGAACACAACCGUACGUUCAGCCGUGUGUUCAUUCAUUGUCAUUGAUACUUGGAGAGAAAGUUAGGUCUGAGACAAGAAGAAGAAACGAGAUUUGGGAGAAGAGAGGCGGAAGAGAAAAGAAAAAAAAAUAGGUUUUCACCUAUAGGGCUCUGAUACCAUAUUGAGUAUUGGAAUUGAAUGAAUAUUAUUGAGUAAGGAGCUCUGUUCUUAUAUGUACAGAGAUGAUCACAAGAAAGGCAAGGCAAUAUUCUAGGAGAUACAAUAGACUAAUUACAGACUAUAUAGCCGUUGAUAGACGUUAAUGAUUAUACACUUUCCAUACUCUUACACAUAAUUGGUCUCAUUUUGGUCGCCACUAAUGCAGCUGCAUAACAAGCUUAUGAUUAGAAAACAUGAUGCAAAAGCUGCAGCUAUGCUCUUUGGUUUCAUCAUCGUCUUUUUUGUUGUUUCUUUAACUGGAGUUUGAGUUGAUUGAAGAGAAAAUGACUUUCGU